GGGGAACGCGCCCCAGGCCCACCCAAAACCCUUUGGGGACUAAUACUUUACUGUUGCCUCGGGCGUAAUGCUGCCCCUUAGGGUCCUUCUCGUCUCGAGAGGAGCAGGCACGCCGGCGGCCAAGUUAACUUUUGUUUUUUCACUGAAACUCUGAGAAAAAACCAAAAUGAAUCAAACUUUCAACAACGGAUCUCUUGUUCUGGCAUCGAUGAAGAACGCAGCGAAAUGCGAUAAGUAAUGUGAAUUGCAGAAUUCAGUGAAUCAUCGAAUCUUUGAACGCACAUUGCGCCCUCCGGUAUUCCGGAGGGCAUGCCUGUUCGAGCGUCAUUUCAACCCCUCAAGCCUGGCUUGGUGUUGGGGCACUGCCUGUAAAAAGGGCAGGCCCUCAAAUCUAGUGGCGAGCUCGCCAGGACCCCGAGCGUAGUAGUUAAACCCUCGCUUUGGAAGGCCCUGGCGGUGCCCUGCCGUUAAACCCCCAAAUCUUUGAAAAUUUGACGUCG
Molecule: ribosomal RNA, 500 nt
Filed under: fungal sp. FLS-2010
Lineage: Eukaryota; Fungi
Description: eukaryotic LSU rRNA
Rfam family: 5.8S ribosomal RNA (bases 175-327)
Source: RNAcentral